This is a long non-coding RNA of Vicia villosa (hairy vetch), 611 nucleotides long. RefSeq lists it as uncharacterized. Lineage: Eukaryota; Viridiplantae; Streptophyta; Magnoliopsida; Fabales; Fabaceae. The record is from RefSeq and is a predicted model, not a curated record. The transcript is spliced from 3 exons.
GAUGGAAGUGAAUAUGGAGAAAGAGUCGAGAGCCUCAAUGAUGAAGCAAGCUCUGGUUUUAUAGAAGUGGAGUAGCUUGUAUCUGAGGUAAAUGAGAAUUUGAUGUUGUUCUGAUGAUGUUGCCCGGAACUGGGAGCGACGCUUCCUGGAACAUUGAGACUAAGACUGAAGUCUGAAGUGUAACGAGGAGCCUUAUGCUGCAGCAUGGUAGACAUUGCAGGGAUGUAUCGGAUGCAUGGAAUUGUCACGGUUUUUUUGAGUUCUAGCGUGAGCAUUGUUAUGAUGCACCUCUCUUCCUUGUAAAAGUCAUGAUGCAUAUAACUUAUCCCUUAUGGAAAUUGUCUUGAAUUCCGUUGGCAAUAUCUUGGUUUAGGCUUUAGUGAAGUAGGUUGACUUUGGUCCAAAUGUGGAAAUCCUUUUUUGUGUAAAUUAUUUUUGGUGGUGUAAUGAUAAUUGAAGUUGGUUUCUAAAGUGGACUUUGAAAUGUAAUUUGUCAGAACUUAGGUGACACUGAAGUUUGACAUAGUACUAUAGCUUGUGUAUUUGUAGUUUGACUUUUUGUAAUGGAUAUUGAAUGGUGUAAUGGAGACAUUUGGUAAUCGAACUCGUAA